AUUGAACGCUGGCGGCAUGCCUUACACAUGCAAGUCGAACGGCAGCACGGGUGCUUGCACCUGGUGGCGAGUGGCGAACGGGUGAGUAAUACAUCGGAACAUGUCCUGUAGUGGGGGAUAGCCCGGCGAAAGCCGGAUUAAUACCGCAUACGAUCUACGGAUGAAAGCGGGGGACCUUCGGGCCUCGCGCUAUAGGGUUGGCCGAUGGCUGAUUAGCGAGUUGGUGGGGUAAAGGCCUACCAAGGCGACGAUCAGUAGCUGGUCUGAGAGGACGACCAGCAACACUGGGACUGAGACACGGCCCAGACUCCUACGGGAGGCAGCAGUGGGGAAUUUUGGACAAUGGGCGAAAGCCUGAUCCAGCAAUGCCGCGUGUGUGAAGAAGGCCUUCGGGUUGUAAAGCACUUUUGUCCGGAAAGAAAUCCUUGGCCCUAAUACGGUCGGGGGAUGACGGUACCGGAAGAAUAAGCACCGGCUAACUACGUG
Molecule: ribosomal RNA, 486 nt
Filed under: uncultured bacterium
Lineage: Bacteria
Description: partial 16S ribosomal RNA
Rfam family: Bacterial small subunit ribosomal RNA
Source: RNAcentral